RNAcentral lists this long non-coding RNA (1203 nucleotides) under Equus caballus (horse). RNAcentral's name for it is "lncRNA (ENSECAG00000056639.1)". Lineage: Eukaryota; Metazoa; Chordata; Mammalia; Perissodactyla; Equidae. The record is from RNAcentral.
GUCACACUAGCCACUCGGCGAACAUGCUCGUCCCCUAAGAAGUGAAAACAAGAUUCACCAAAGGAAGAUCUGUCACAAGGAAGCCAUUCGAUUGGCUGCUAAGUGGUCACCAGGCAAUAAGCAUUACAGGAAUCAAGAGGGAAAAUCCAUUUUGACUCAUUAGUGAGCAAAUGGAAUCGUCUACAUAGAGCUUUGGCUUUUCAAGCCAGAAAGGGUCUCAGCUCUCAGUUAACCUAGGAAUUGUGACAUCACAAAGACAAGGUCUAAAUGACUGAAAAGAUAAAGACCUGGCCGGUAUUGGGGCAAAAACAGGACCCUCUGACCAAAAACUGGAGCGGCUGCCCUCAAUCAUCCCCUCAGAGCUGUCAGGGUGUUGGAAGAUGGUGGCCCGUUUCCUUGACAGACUGUUUAUUUCACUCCUCAAAUGCGCUGUCCCAACACAGUGACGGCAUAGGAGAGCACUGGGGGACGUCUGAAGUUGCUGCCAUUCAUUAGCAUCGAUUUCAACCUUCAGACGCCCUCCUCCACCUUCCCUCCCACCAGGUCCCUGCUCCUCCCCCACCUAGUCUAGUCUGAAGAGAAUCCCAGAGUCGCCUCAUUAGAACAACAGACGCUCCCAUCACCCAAGAAAUUCCAAGGGACUUAGGAGCCCUGUGUCAGGAACCCGGUCAAAGACCAAACAUCAGAACAAAAGAUGCUCCUAGUGCUCCUGUCACUUAGGAAAUGACAAGGAUCUCAGGAGCCCUGUGCCUGCAGCCAAGCAGAGACCAAUACUGAGAUUUCCUCUUCUCUCAUGACAACACACCCAUGCGCGUCCCUCCUUGGCCUCACAGUCCGGCUCCUGCUCCCUGAAAUCACUUUCCAAAAUGAGCGGCCUGCCUGCAAGCCUGAGGCUCAGGCUCACCAUCUCAGGGACCCCGGGCUAAGAUGCCAACCCAGGAAGGGCCAAAGGGACCUCCAGGAAGGACGACGAAGGGCAGCCCCAGCGUGCCGGCUGGGCAGGAGGCCUGGAGGGUAAUCAGCCGAGAGGGAGGAGAACAGAGACUCAGGAGGGGUGUGUCCAGGAGGGAAGCUGAAGCUCACAGACUUGACGUGGGACGGGACGGACCGCAUGAGAAGCCGUCCUGAGAGGCCAGGAGGAGGGGACUGGAAGAGCACGUCCCUGUUUACGUGGAAUCGGAGGUCAUCCCCACUGUCAGACGG